AUGAAACACAAGUCGGCGGAUUGUGCUGGCGCCUCAAAGCGCAUGUGCACGUCUGUCGCAAAUCCACACACCUGUGCACUAUAGACUCUGAGCGAGCGGCUGUUUGGCUGCACCUCGGAGUAUUUUACACACGCUGAAUGUAAAAGGAUGAUGUCGUGCUUUGCACAAAAAAACAUA
RNAcentral lists this unclassified non-coding RNA (177 nucleotides) under uncultured Sebacinales. RNAcentral describes it as "sequence contains ITS1". Lineage: Eukaryota; Fungi; Basidiomycota; Agaricomycetes; Sebacinales. The record is from RNAcentral.